RNAcentral lists this non-coding RNA (251 nucleotides) under Clostridium botulinum. Its description in RNAcentral is "T-box sequence". It matches the Rfam family "T-box leader". From Rfam's summary of the family: Uncharged tRNA acts as the effector for transcription antitermination of genes in the T-box leader family. T-boxes are found upstream of many aminoacyl-tRNA synthetase genes and some amino acid biosynthetic genes usually in Gram-positive bacteria. The record is from RNAcentral. Lineage: Bacteria; Bacillati; Bacillota; Clostridia; Eubacteriales; Clostridiaceae.
GUAAAGAUAGAGAAGAGGAGAGUAAGUAUAGAGUAUUGAUUAUAGCGAGCUGAUGUUGGUGGAAGAUCAGUAUUAAAUCUAUAUGGAAGAACACCUCGGAAUUUCUAACCGAAAUUAUAAAUUUAUUUAUAAAAGUAGACUUAGACGGGACCAAGCCGUUAAAAUUGGAAAGUAUAAUAUUGUACUUAUAAAGUGAUCAUGUUUUAUGAUAAAUUAGGUGGUACCGCGAAUAUAUAACCUUCGUCCUGAUA